UACGAAGGGGGCUAGCGUUGUUCGGAUUUACUGGGCGUAAAGCGCACGUAGGCGGAUCGUUAAGUCGGGGGUGAAAUCCUGGAGCUCAACUCCAGAACUGCCUUCGAUACUGGCGAUCUAGAGUCCGGAAGAGGUGAGUGGAACUCCUAGUGUAGAGGUGGAAUUCGUAGAUAUUAGGAAGAACACCAGUGGCGAAGGCGGCUCACUGGACCGGUACUGACGCUGAGGUGCGAAAGCGUGGGGAGCAAACAGG
RNAcentral lists this ribosomal RNA (253 nucleotides) under uncultured bacterium. RNAcentral describes it as "partial 16S ribosomal RNA". It matches the Rfam family "Bacterial small subunit ribosomal RNA", at positions 524 to 776 of the family's 1533-position model. The record is from RNAcentral.